ACUGCUCAGUAACACGUGGACAACCUACCCUCAGGUCGGGGAUAAACCCGGGAAACUGGGUAUAAUACCCGAUAGAUCUCGGCUGCUGGAAUGCAUCGAGCUCUAAAGCUCCGGCGCCUGAGGAUGGGUCUGCGGCCUAUCAGGUAGUAGUGGGUGUAGCGUACCUACUAGCCUACGACGGGUACGGGUUGUGAGAGCAAGAGCCCGGAGAUGGAUUCUGAGACACGAAUCCAGGCCCUACGGGGUGCAGCAGGCGCGAAAACUUUACAAUGCCGGCAACGGCGAUAAGGGGACCUCGAGUGCCAGGUUACAAAUCUGGCUGUCGUGAUGCCUAAAAAGCAUUGCAUAGCAAGGGCCGGGCAAGACCGGUGCCAGCCGCCGCGGUAACACCGGCGGCUCGAGUGGUAACCGUUAUUAUUGGGUCUAAAGGGUCUGUAGCCGGCCGGAUAAGUCUCUUGGGAAAUCCAGCAGCUCAACUGUUGGGCUUUCAGGAGACACUGUCUGGCUCGAGGCCGGGAGAGGUGAGAGGUACUUCAGGGGUAGGGGUGAAAUCUUGUAAUCCUUGAAGGACCACCAGUGGCGAAGGCGUCUCACCAGAACGGACCUGACGGCAAGGGACGAAAGCUAGGGGCACGAACCGGAUUAGAUACCCGGGUAGUCCUAGCCGCAAACGAUACUCGCUAAGUGUCGGCCACGGUGCGACCGUUGUCGGUGCCGUAGGGAAGCCGUGAAGCGAGCCACCUGGGAAGUACGGCCGCAAGGCUGAAACUUAAAGGAAUUGGCGGGGGAGCAC
This 793-nucleotide ribosomal RNA is filed under the name uncultured archaeon. RNAcentral's name for it is "bacterial SSU rRNA". It matches the Rfam family "Archaeal small subunit ribosomal RNA", at positions 85 to 879 of the family's 1478-position model. The record is from RNAcentral.